Molecule: long non-coding RNA, 239 nt
Filed under: Vulpes vulpes (red fox)
Lineage: Eukaryota; Metazoa; Chordata; Mammalia; Carnivora; Canidae
Description: lncRNA (ENSVVUG00000011345.1)
Source: RNAcentral
CCCAGGUGGAUAAUUUGUAUCUGAGCUCAGAAGGUUGAUUGCCAUUAUUCUGAGUCCAGUGGGAAUCCUGCUAGGACCCCUGGAUGAUGUGCCCCCCUGGUAGUCCCUCCCACUCAGCUCUUCCUGGAUUCUCACCAGUGCUCUGGAGUCACUCCACCUUACUGUUUACCACAGGUCAGAAUGACUCCUGAGGGAUGAGGGAACAUAACCUGGGAAGUUAGGACCUAAGGCAAAUAAAU